This 791-nucleotide ribosomal RNA is filed under the name uncultured bacterium. RNAcentral's name for it is "bacterial SSU rRNA". It matches the Rfam family "Bacterial small subunit ribosomal RNA", at positions 63 to 848 of the family's 1533-position model. The record is from RNAcentral.
CGAGCGGGGAAGGUUGCUUCGGUAACUAACCUAGCGGCGGACGGGUGAGUAAUGCUUAGGAAUCUGCCUAUUAGUGGGGGGCAACAUUCCGAAAGGAAUGCUAAUACCGCAUACGCCCUACGGGGGAAAGCAGGGGAUCUUCGGACCUUGCGCUAAUAGAUGAGCCUAAGUCGGAUUAGCUAGUUGGUGGGGUAAAGGCCUACCAAGGCGACGAUCUGUAGCGGGUCUGAGAGGAUGAUCCGCCACACUGGGACUGAGACACGGCCCAGACUCCUACGGGAGGCAGCAGUGGGGAAUAUUGGACAAUGGGCGGAAGCCUGAUCCAGCCAUGCCGCGUGUGUAAAGAAGGCCUUUUGGUUGUAAAGCACUUUAAGCGAGGAGGAGGCUCCUUUAGUUAAUACCUAAAGAGAGUGGACGUUACUCGCAGAAUAAGCACCGGCUAACUCUGUGCCAGCAGCCGCGGUAAUACAGAGGGUGCGAGCGUUAGUCGGAUUUACUGGGCGUAAAGCGUGCGUAGGCGGCUUUUUAAGUCGGAUGUGAAAUCCCUGAGCUUAACUUAGGAAUUACAUUCGAUACUGGAAAGCUAGAGUAUGGGAGAGGAUGGUAGAAUUCCAGGUGUAGCGGUGAAAUGCGUAGAGAUCUGGAGGAAUACCGAUGGCGAAGGCAGCCAUCUGGCCUAAUACUGACGCUGAGGUACGAAAGCAUGGGGAGCAAACAGGAUUAGAUACCCUGGUAGUCCAUGCCGUAAACGAUGUCUACUAGCCGUUGGGGCCUUUGAGGCUUUAGUGGCG